AUGCCUCACUCUGUGUGUCAGCACACGUGCGACCAAUGGUUGCAUGGAGAACUUCCGCCACCCCCAUAUGCACGCACAGACAUACACACAUGUGAGGUGGAUGUGAUGGAAGUCGCCGAUGUUCGUCCUCCCUGCGCAUCCCCAGCGAGCGAGAGAGGAUUGUGUUCUAUGCGCUGUGGCCCCCUGCCUCCCUCUCUCGGACCUUACUUGAUGCGUGUGCCUUUCUACGAGCAAUGACGACCUGGGCGUAACUGUAAGCAACAAAAACUUGACGCGCACGCACACAGGAACCCAGGGGGAUGGAGAACACAAAGGAUUGGUGAACCUCGUUGGAGGGGAGGGCGAGUGGCAGCACCUCAUCUAAGGUGGUGGUGAUGGUGGUGGGGGGCCAGUCUUUCCUUUCCUUUCUUCGUCAGCAGGGGCAUGGGCCGACGUGAGGGUGCUGCGACAGGCUGUCCUUGGCGCGCCCAACGAAAUGCGCCAGCGAAGCUUGCGUGUGCGUGCCUGGCUGCAGUGGCAUUCGACCGGAAAGAAAGACGAGGCCCAUCACUGACAAGGACAGCUGUACGCGCACAUGCUUUGUCUGAUGUGGACACCCAUUUCCGCACAGGCACGCGACCGACAAGCAUGCGCCACCCCUCCUCGCCACCUCAGAGAGGGAUGGAUGCGACGCACUCGCACACAUGCACGUGAGCGCACAUAUGUUUCUUGAUGCCUUUAUCACUGUGAGAGGGGAGAACGCGCAUGUAGGCGGACACACACUCGCCCACUGCUGGAUGUGCUGGUCUGUGGAGAGAGGACGAUGGAGGAGGGUGGACGAUGCCAUUGUCGGCCCGCCUGUCUUCGUUCCUUCAUCCCGAUUCUCGACACCUCCCUCUUCCUCGCGCGGCUCGGUGCGCUGCUUUUCGUCUAUCAUCGUCCGUCUCCUUCUCUUCUCUCCCAUCGCCGCCGCCGCCGCCUCCUUUUGUUGCUUUCCUUUGCUUCGCCCGUUUCGUUCAG
Molecule: unclassified non-coding RNA, 999 nt
Filed under: Leishmania donovani
Lineage: Eukaryota; Euglenozoa; Kinetoplastea; Trypanosomatida; Trypanosomatidae
Description: gene:unknown
Source: RNAcentral